GACGAACGCUGGCGGCGUGCUUAACACAUGCAAGUCGAACGGAAAGGCCCUGCUUGCAGGGUACUCGAGUGGCGAACGGGUGAGUAACACGUGGGUGAUCUGCCCUGCACUUCGGGAUAAGCCUGGGAAACUGGGUCUAAUACCGGAUAGGAGCCAUUUUUAGUGUGAUGGUUGGAAAGUUUUUUCGGUGUAGGAUGAGCUCGCGGCCUAUCAGCUUGUUGGUGGGGUAAUGGCCUACCAAGGCGGCGACGGGUAGCCGGCCUGAGAGGGUGGACGGCCACAUUGGGACUGAGAUACGGCCCAGACUCCUACGGGAGGCAGCAGUGGGGAAUAGUGCACAAUGGGCGCAAGCCUGAUGCAGCGACGCCGCGUGGGGGAUGACGGCCUUCGGGUUGUAAACUCAUUUCGCUAGGGACGAAGCUUUUUGUGACGGUACCUAGAUAAGAAGCACCGGCUAACUACGUG
RNAcentral lists this ribosomal RNA (465 nucleotides) under uncultured bacterium. Its description in RNAcentral is "partial 16S ribosomal RNA". It matches the Rfam family "Bacterial small subunit ribosomal RNA", at positions 28 to 507 of the family's 1533-position model. The record is from RNAcentral.